RNAcentral lists this ribosomal RNA (254 nucleotides) under uncultured bacterium. Its description in RNAcentral is "partial 16S ribosomal RNA". It matches the Rfam family "Bacterial small subunit ribosomal RNA", at positions 524 to 776 of the family's 1533-position model. The record is from RNAcentral.
UACGGGGGGAGCAAGCGUUGUUCGGAUUUACUGGGCGUAAAGGGCGCGUAGGCGGUCGUGACAAGUCACUUGUGAAAUCUCCGGGCUUAACUCGGAACGGUCAAGUGAUACUGUCGGACUAGAGUACAGAAGGGGCAACUGGAAUUCUCGGUGUAGCGGUGAAAUGCGUAGAUAUCGGAAGGAACGCCGGUGGCGAAAGCGGCGUGCUGGACCCCUCCUGACGCUGAGGCGCGAAAGCCAGGGGAGCGAACGGG